This 388-nucleotide ribosomal RNA is filed under the name uncultured bacterium. RNAcentral describes it as "bacterial SSU rRNA". It matches the Rfam family "Bacterial small subunit ribosomal RNA", at positions 28 to 417 of the family's 1533-position model. The record is from RNAcentral.
GACGAACGCUGGCGGCGUGCUUAACACAUGCAAGUCGAGCGGUAAGGCCCUUUCGGGGGUACACGAGCGGCGAACGGGUGAGUAACACGUGGGUGACCUGCCCUCAGCUCUGGGAUAAGCCUGGGAAACCGGGUCUAAUACUGGAUAUGACUCCAUGACGCAUGUUGUGGGGUGGAAAGCCUUGUGCGGCUGAGGAUGGGCCCGCGGCCUAUCAGCUUGUUGGUGGGGCGANGGCCUACCAAGGCGACGACGGGUAGCCGGCCUGAGAGGGCGACCGGCCACACUGGGACUGAGACACGGCCCAGACUCCUACGGGAGGCAGCAGUGGGGAAUCUUGCGCAAUGGGCGAAAGCCUGACGCAGCGACGCCGCGUGAGGGAUGACGGCCU